RNAcentral lists this ribosomal RNA (3040 nucleotides) under Triticum aestivum (bread wheat). RNAcentral's name for it is "partial small subunit ribosomal RNA". The record is from RNAcentral. Lineage: Eukaryota; Viridiplantae; Streptophyta; Magnoliopsida; Poales; Poaceae.
CUCGGCCCUGGGCCUUAUAAAACCCAGACCCGUUUACUUUCUUGACCGUGCCCGUCGUCCUCUCUUUCUCCGCACACAACAGAGAACCCGCAUUCAGCAAAGGGGGGUUGUGGGUGGUGGCCGCCGGUCGGGGAGAGAAAUUCGAGCGGAUUCGCGAGGGCGAGGCCAAGGGGAUUCGUCGAGGUUCUGCGAUGGUGGAGGGGAUGGCUUCGGAGAGGCAGCUGGUGGUGGUCGUCGAGGGCACGGCGGCGCUGGGGCCGUACUGGCCCGCCAUUGCGGCCGAGUACGUCGAGAAGAUCGUUCGGAGUUUUUGUUCUACUGAACUAUCAGGGCAGAAGCUUGCAGGGGUACCACCUGAGCUUGCAUUAGUUGUCUUCCAUACCCAUGGACCUUACAGUGCCUUUAUUGUACAACGCAGCGGUUGGACAAAAGAUAUGGAUGCUUUUCUUUCAUGGUUAUCAGGAAUAUCAUUUAGUGGUGGAGGCUUCAGUGAAGCUGCUAUUUGUGAAGGUCUUGCUGAAGCACUGAUGAUACUCCAAGGCAGUCCUGGUAGCAGCCAGAAUCAUCAAAAUCGUGAACUUCAAAAGCAUUGCCUACUUGUUGCUGCAAGUAAUCCUUACCCGCUGCCUACACCUGUCUACCGCCCUUCUGUUCAAAGUAGUGAUCACAAAAAGAGCAACGAAGCAACAAAGGAAUCAUGUCUUGCUGAUGCUGAGGCUGUUGCAGUCUCAUUUGCUCAGUCCUCUGUAUCGUUGUCGGUGGUAUCUCCUAAACAGCUACCAACACUGAAGGCAAUAUACAACGCGGGAAAGAGGAAUCCUCAAGCUUCUGAUCCAUCAGUUGAUCAUGCCAAAAAUCCACAUUUUCUUGUUUUGCUGUCUGAGAGUUUCAUGGAGGCUCGAACCGCUCUAAGCCAUCCUUUACCCGGGAACCUUGUCCCAAACCACACCAUUACAAAAAUGGAUACCGCACCUGCAGCUACUGUGCCAGGACCACCUUCGAAUGCCACUCCCUCAGUGAAUGGAACGAUGAUGGGACGGCAACCGACUGCAAAUGUUAAAGUGGAGCCGACAACUAUACCACCAAUGGUUUCUGCACCUGCAUUCUCUCAUAUGACACCUAUUUCAAAUGUUGCUUCUCAAGGUGUAUCAGCAAUGCAAACUUCUUCACCAUCGAUUAUUUCACAAGAAACAAAUGUUGCAAAUGAAAUAUUGCAAGAGCAUAAGCCUUUAGUAAACCCUAUCCAACAACAGGUUCGGCCUGGUGGCCCAGCAAAUGUUAGCAUCCUAAACAAUCUGUCACAACAUCGACACUCUUUAACAGCAGCUACCUCAAUGGGACCUAACAUGGGAGCAACACCUAUACAAGUGCACAUGUCAAACAUGAUAUCGAGUGGAAUGACAUCAACUCCCGCUGUCAUAUCUUCUAUAUCUGGAACAGUACAGCCAAUUGGUGCUCAACAGUUGGUACAGAACACAGCUCUCGGUUCUUUUGGGUCAAACACUUCUACUGUAUCUGGACAAGGUGGAAUUGGUACGAACCAAAACAUGAUAAAUAACCUUGGGACUACAGCUAUCUCUUCUAUGCCUACAAUGAUGCCAACACCAGGAAUGGUCCAGCAGACAGGAGUAAAUGCUCUUAGCGCGAACAACAGUUCUGCUAUGAAUAUGCCUCUGGCACAACAUCCUAAUGGCCAGCAACCAUCGAAGUAUGUCAAAAUUUGGGAGGGAACUUUGUCUGGGCAAAGGCAAGGACAACCUGUAUUUAUUUGUAAACUUGAAGGUUAUAGGAGUGGAACAGCGUCUGACACACUUGCUUCAGACUGGCCAGAAACGAUGCAGAUCGUGCGCCUCAUAGCCCAAGAGCAUAUGAACAACAAGCAGUAUGUUGGCAAGGCAGACUUUCUAGUAUUUCGAACAUUGAAUCAGCAUGGUUUCCUCGGACAACUACAAGAGAAGAAAUUGUGUGCAGUGAUUCAGCUACCUUCACAAACUUUGCUGUUGUCAGUGUCUGACAAAGCUGGGCGCCUCAUAGGAAUGCUGUUUCCAGGGGAUAUGGUGGUAUUCAAACCACAGGUCUCAACUCAGCAGCCACAGAUGCAGCCACAGCAGCAGCAGCAGCAGCUACAACAGCAGCAGCAGCAAAUACAGCAGCAACAGCAGCAACUACAGCAACUGCAACAGCAGCAACUACAACAGCACCAAAUGCAAAUGCAGCCUCAAGGCCAGCAACUUCAGCAGCAGCAGCAGAUGCAGCAAAUGCAACAGCAACAACAACAGAUGCAGCAAAUGCAACAUCAACAACAGCAGCAGCAGCAGCAGAUUCAGCAGCAGCAGCAGAUGCAGCAGCAGCAGCAGCAGAUUCAGCAGCAGCAGCAGAUGCAGCAGCAGCAGCAGCAGCAGCAGCAGCAACAGAUGCAGCAAAUGCAACAGCAGCAGCAGCAGCAGCCUCAACAACUCCAGCAGCAGCCGCAGAUGGUGGGUACAGGGAUGGGUCAGCAACAAUUCAUGCAGGGGCAUGGUCGGGCGGUGCAGAUGAUGCAAGGAAAGAUCGCGCCACAGGGCCCAGGCAACAUGUCUGGAGGAGGCUACCUAUCUUGAAAAUAUCGCGUGCUAGCAGGACACUCCUUGGGUUCAUGAGGCUCCUUGGAGAUUUGGCACACCCAAUUAGUGUGGUGGUUUUGUGCUUAUGUACAGAGCAUUCCGAGUCUGUCAGCUAGGAGGAGUUUGCUUACUAUCUCAUGUCUAGCCUGUAGCUGAGGUAUUCAUCAUCCUAUUGGAUGGUACAUUAGAAGAACAUAUUCAGAGGAUUGAUUGGAGAGGGACCUAUAAUCUGGAAUGAUUUGCUAAAGAUAAAGUUACAUUUUCACACCGUUGGACCGAACAUGCAUUUGAAUCUUCAUAUGUCCAAUAACUUACUGUAUUUCCUACUUAUCCAUGCUAAAUGGAGGCGCUGGGGAGGAGGCAUGGUGGUGUGUUAGGAAGAAUCCUGAUUGCUGGGUCAGGUAGAGAUGCGUCCCACAAAUGUUUUACGAGCCGGG